Molecule: small nuclear RNA, 107 nt
Filed under: Choloepus hoffmanni (Hoffmann's two-fingered sloth)
Lineage: Eukaryota; Metazoa; Chordata; Mammalia; Pilosa; Megalonychidae
Source: RNAcentral
GUGCUUGCUUUGGUGGCACAUAUACUAAAAUUGGAACAAUACAGAAAAGUUUAGCAUGGCCCCUGUGCAAGGAUGGUAUGCAAAUUCGUGAAGUGUUCCAUAUUUUU